CUACGGAGGGGGCUAGCGUUGUUCGGAAUUACUGGGCGUAAAGCGUACGUAGGCGGACUGACCAGUUGGGGGUGAAAUCCCAGGGCUUAACCCUGGAACUGCCUUCAAUACUGUCAGUCUUGAGUUUGGGAGAGGUGAGUGGAAUUCCUAGUGUAGAGGUGAAAUUCAUAGAUAUUAGGAGGAACACCAGUGGCGAAGGCGGCUCACUGGCCCAUUACUGACGCUGAGGUACGAAAGCGUGGGGUGCAAACAGGAUUAGAAACCCUAGUAGUCC
RNAcentral lists this ribosomal RNA (274 nucleotides) under uncultured bacterium. RNAcentral's name for it is "partial 16S ribosomal RNA". It matches the Rfam family "Bacterial small subunit ribosomal RNA", at positions 523 to 796 of the family's 1533-position model. The record is from RNAcentral.